GAUGAACGCUGGCGGCGUGCCUAAUACAUGCAAGUCGAGCGAACAGACGAGGAGCUUGCUCCUCUGACGUUAGCGGCGGACGGGUGAGUAACACGUGGAUAACCUACCUAUAAGACUGGGAUAACUUCGGGAAACCGGAGCUAAUACCGGAUAAUAUAUUGAACCGCAUGGUUCAAUAGUGAAAGACGGUUUUGCUGUCACUUAUAGAUGGAUCCGCGCCGCAUUAGCUAGUUGGUAAGGUAACGGCUUACCAAGGCAACGAUGCGUAGCCGACCUGAGAGGGUGAUCGGCCACACUGGAACUGAGACACGGUCCAGACUCCUACGGGAGGCAGCAGUAGGGAAUCUUUCGCAAUGGGCGAAAGCCUGACGGAGCAACGCCGCGUGAGUGAUGAAGGUCUUCGGAUCGUAAAACUCUGUUAUUAGGGAAGAACAAAUGUGUAAGUAACUAUGCACGUCUUGACGGUACCUAAUCAGAAAGCCACGGCUAACUACGUG
Molecule: ribosomal RNA, 497 nt
Filed under: uncultured bacterium
Lineage: Bacteria
Description: partial 16S ribosomal RNA
Rfam family: Bacterial small subunit ribosomal RNA
Source: RNAcentral